UGUAAUGUAUUUAAUUCAACCCUACUAGGACUCUGGGCAGAAUACCUACCAAGCCACUCAAACAUGCUUUUUGGGCCUCUAUUAUUACAAUGAUGGGCCAAACAGAAUUGGUGUGUCAGAAUUAAUAUCCUAUUUCUGUCUCUUAUAGGUUAUGGCACUUUCUUAUGAAAAUUCAAAGAAGUGUGUUAAUGCCAUUGUUCCUUUGAAUGCCAAGUUAACUUUGAAUGCAAUGAAUGCCAACUUAACCUUGAAUGCCAUGAAUGCUAACUUAUCUUUGAAUGCUAUGAACACCAACUUGUCUUUGAAUGCUUAUAUUUGGCUUCACUUUUCCGUCGCACCCUACAUUGUCCCCAUUUUCUCCACAGGCCGGCAGGCGGAGUGAACGCCUGAGUAGGCGUCUUGUUUGCUAUCAAUAUCUAACCCUAAUAAUGUAG
Non-coding RNA from Paramuricea clavata, 434 nucleotides. NCBI's taxonomy places the organism in Eukaryota, Metazoa, Cnidaria, Anthozoa, Malacalcyonacea, Plexauridae. The record is from the annotation of a GenBank genome assembly.